Molecule: ribosomal RNA, 253 nt
Filed under: uncultured bacterium
Lineage: Bacteria
Description: partial 16S ribosomal RNA
Rfam family: Bacterial small subunit ribosomal RNA
Source: RNAcentral
UACAGAGGUCUCAAGCGUUGUUCGGAAUCACUGGGCGUAAAGGGUGCGUAGGCUGCACGGUAAGUCAGAGGUGAAAUCCCGGAGCUCAACUUCGGAAUUGCCUCCGAUACUGCCGUGCUUGAGGACUGGAGAGGAGAUUGGAAUUCACAGUGGAGCAGUGAAAUGCGUAGAUAUUGUGAGGAACACUAGUGGCGAAGGCGAAUCUCUGGACAGUUCCUGACGCUGAGGCACGAAGGCCAGGGGAGCAAACAGG